Molecule: long non-coding RNA, 32522 nt
Filed under: Lactuca sativa (garden lettuce)
Lineage: Eukaryota; Viridiplantae; Streptophyta; Magnoliopsida; Asterales; Asteraceae
Description: long non-coding RNA (LSAT_LNC008512)
Rfam family: Plant small nucleolar RNA R71 (bases 26867-26973)
Source: RNAcentral
UUGGGGAUUUUGUUCACUUUCAUCGUUAUGAAGCUUAAUCUUACCACCGGAAUCAUUCCUUCUCUCAACGUCUCCGCCGGACUGUUAGGGUUUUUCUUCGUGAAGACUUGGACGAAAUUCCUUGAUAAAUCUGGUUUGCUGAAGCAGCCUUUCACGAGGCAAGAGAAUACUGUGAUUCAGACGUGCGUCGUUGCUACCUCCGGCAUUGCUUUCUCCGGUAAGUCCAAUUGAUUCCUCCCUAUUACUCGAUCACACACACACAAACACAGAGUUGAAUUAGUUCUUUACACGUCUGUGUGAUUCUCGAAUUUGCAUUACAAAAAUCUCAAAUCUACAAAAAGUCCGAACAACAUCGAUGACUAUGAGUAUGAGAUCAUCAAAUAUUUAGACAAGAAUCAAAUAUCUACUUUGGUUGCUUGCAAAUAUAUUAAAUUAAAAGAGGUUGUGCUUUGUUUCUCUAUAUUAUGUUAUUGAGUAAUUUUUUAUUUGAUUAAGUACUUAGUAGGUGGAAAUAUAGCUGUAUAAUUUGUGCAUUUAUUUUAAUUUAAUAAAAAAAACAUUAUUAUUAUUUUAUAAACAAAUAUAUUAUUAAUCUCACUUCAAGAGUCAAACACCUUCAAUAAUAAUAUUAUAUAUUUUGAUCUUACCUCAGAUAUAUCAUAUAGUUACUUAUUUUAUUUAAAAAAUCAUUAUUAUUGAUAAUUAAACAUAAACAAAGUGCAUAGUUAAUUCACCCAAUUAAAAUUCAAGUAUAUUGUUAAGAAUUUUAGUAUGAAAUAAAUAAUAAAUUGAACAAUUUGUAUAAAAUAAUAAACUAUAUUUAAUUUAAUAAAUUUGUAUAUCUCCGUGGUUAUCGGGAGGACGAAAAUACGACGUCAUUCAUUGCGAUUUAACUUUCUAUUAAAAGAAGUCAUAGCUUGACAUAACGUAUAGUCCAAAGGUCUUUAAUAAAUAAGUUAUGGCCUCGUGGGACCCAAUUAGAUAUAAAUAUCUAAAUUUUGAUAAAUUGUGAUAAAUAAUACAGAUUGUCUAUUAAUAAUAGAUCAUAUUAACAUGGUUUACAUAGAAACAAAAUAUCAAACUUAGGUGCUUUUAUUGGAAACUGAAACAUAAUAGUCAAACAAAAAAUUAACUAAAAUAUAAUUUUUUUUAUAUAUUUUUUCCUAAAACAUAAGAAAGUUGUCCAUGUUUAUCCAUAGUCUUUUACAACCAAUCAUCCGUAUAAUUUUUGAGUACAAAAUAAAAAUAAAAAAUAAAUAUACAAGAUUACCAUAGAAAAUAGAGAUAGAACCUAAUGCAAGUUGAGGUUGGCUGCCAAUCCCAAAUCGCAACCAAUAACCAAACACGUGUCGUGUUAUUAAUGGAUAUGUUUUAUUUUAUUUUAUUUUUCUUUUGCACUUUAAUAACUAUUUUAAUUGUAAUAUGUUUAUAAAAAAUAUAUAUUAGAUAAGAAGAUAUACAAAAUUUAUGGUUAUUAAUUAUUUACAAAUAAAAUAGAGUAUUAAUGUAUUUUUAUAUAUUUCUGAAACUUAUAUAUAAAAAAUAUGUUUUUGGUGGUUUAUAAAUGAUAAAUAUAUAAAAUUGAUCGGAUGAAUAAAAAAUUAAUAUUUAACAUAAACUGAGUUGUAAGCGGUUGCUCAUAAAUGUAGUCAUAUAUUACAUUACAUUUGUCCUAAGUUUUUAUGAAAACUUAUUACAAGAAAUUUUAAAUAAAUAUAUUUGUCUUUUUCUUUUUCCCUCCUUUCAAUUUUCAUGAUUGUCGUGUUCCAUUUUGUUCAUGAUGGUUUGUGUAUAAUGCGAACCCAAUCAAGUCAAGUGAUUUUUAGUUUAUAAUACUACUUUUAUGGAUUUGUUUUUAAAUUAUGAAAUCUGAAUCUAUGUAAUAAUUCAAUCAUUAUUAUAUUAUUAUUAUUAUUCAUUUAUUCUAAUUACAACAUUUUGUUUUAUCCGUAUAUAUUUGAUUCUUAAUCCAAUAAAUAUUUCUAAGUGGAAAAUGGAAAGCCAAUACAUUAUAUACAUAGAUGAAUAAAAAAUUAUAUUCCUAUUUUUCCAUUUAGUCCUUGUAAAUAUGAAUGACACACGAAAUGACCCUCGUAUUAAAACAUAACGUGAAAGUAACGGGUGUGGCACCAAAAUAGGCGUGAAUAGAGGAGGGUAUUGAAAUAUUGAUCAUGUGGACCAGAUUCCAUCAUCUAAUUGACUUUUUAUGAGUCUACAAGUCCCACUGGAUAGUGGAUCUCACCCACGCUCUAUUGUUUUUUCUUAUUAUUUUAAUAAAAAUAUUAAACUAUCAUAAUUUAUUUCAUCUUAAAAUAGAUGUGAUGGUAAAAAAAUAGUAUUACUUAAUUAUUAACUACAAACAAGUCAACGAGCUCGAAUUUAAUUUGAUUGUGAUAGUUUUUUUUGAAUGGAAAAACUAUAUAAAAAAAAAAAUCUAAUUGUGGAUGCUAAUCGGAUAAAGAUUGAUUUUUUUUUUUUAAAAAGCUGAAAUAAAAAUUCAUUUUUUUACUUUUGUGGUUGAAGGUCGUAAUCUAUACAAAUAAAAAACAAGUCACGUAUAAUUAAAGUAAGGUGGUAGGGGGGUUUUCAUGUGGGCCACAUGAAUGAGUUAUAUAUCGAAAUCCCGAGCUGGCAAUUGAAAUCCGUGAACAUGCUCAUAAGUCAUACAUCUCAUUCACCUCAAACAUUCACAUUUCACACACAAACAUUGAAUCAAAUAUAAGAAAUAGCAAAAUAGCAAAUACUUUUAAUAAUAACAAAUAACACAGAAACAGUUUUGCUUCUUGUCUAACAUCUAGAUAUUUCAUUGUUAGGAGAAAAUUGUAUCCAAAUUUAUACACUUAUAAAAGUUUGAGAAAUUAAAUAUCCUCCAACUUUUUCUUCCUAUUCAUCCUUUUACCGUAUCAAAUGUUGACAUGCUGUCAUGCUUAAUUACACAUUUAAUGAAAUUAAUAAUAAUUUAGUCCACUUUUAUAUGGGUAGGAGGAUAGUAAUAAAAAAAAAUAGAAGAAUAUUUAAAUUUCUCUAAAAGUUUAUACCUUUCCUAGAACAAAGAUAACUUUUGGCAAUAAUAAAUCCGUACAUAUCUAUCGCCUAUGCAAUCUUUACCUUUUCUAAAGAUAUUUUAUGUCACUAUCCUGCCUAGUACCUUCUUCCAUCUUUCUAAAAAUUACAAACUUUAUCCAUACAAGUUUAUGUAAAUAAAUCAUACGAAUCACAACUUAUGCAACGUAAACGAAUCAAAAUAAAACAUUAUUACUGUAGUAAAACUCACUAAAAAAUACCCUGAAUUUUUGUGGUUUUGGCGUUUUGUUUAUAUUAAGUAUAUAUGGAUUUAUCUCACUACAAUUGAUGGGUUUUUUUAGGAGGAUUUGGUAGUUACUUGUUUGGCAUGAGUGAAAUUAUUGCCAAACAAUCACAUGAAGCAAACGCUGAACAAAACACCAAGAACCCUUCUCUUGUUUGGAUGAUUGCAUUUCUCUUCGUUGUUAGCUUCCUUGGCCUCUUUUCCGUUGUCCCUCUUCGCAAGGUACAUUUAAUAAUUAAUAACCCUCUCAGUCUGUCAGUCUGUCUCAGUCUGAGCAUCUACAGUGUGAGAAUUUUAAUUCCAAUGUGGAUUUACAUAUGCUAUAUGGGCCAGCUUAGAAGUUGUUGGGAGAAUAAUACAAUAUCUUCUUUUGUGUAUGUUAUGUGUUUUAGUAAAAAAUAAAUUUCCCUUAGUUAAUAAUAUAAUUUUUUGUUAAUUUCAUUGUGUUGCAGAUAAUGAUUAUUGAUUUCAAACUGAUUUACCCAAGUGGAACAGCAACAGCUCACCUUAUCAACAGUUUCCACACUCCCCAGGGUGCCAAGCUGGCCAAGUAAAACCACAAUCACUUUUUCUUUAAUUUGUAGUUCUUUUUUUUUUAACUCUAAUGAUUUUAAUUAAUUACUACAGGAAACAAGUGAGAGCUUUAGGUAAAUUCUUUUCCUUUAGUUUCUUAUGGGGCUUCUUUCAAUGGUUCUUCACGGGUGGAGAUGGAUGUGGAUUUUCAAGCUUCCCAACAUUUGGUCUUAAGGCCUAUGAAAAUAAGUAUGUGUCUUUUUAUCGUUAAAUGCACGAAAUAGCAACGUACUUUCAGUUAAAAUUCAUGAUUUUAACUGAAUUACAGUUUUAUUUUUUAAAAAUCUAGAAAGUAUUUGUUAUUAUAGUCUUAGUUAUUAGCUUUUAUUACAUCAAAUAUUCUUGUCAACAAGUUUCUUUUUCCAUCAAAACCAGGUUUUUUUUCGACUUUUCAGCAACUUACGUUGGUGUGGGCAUGAUUUGCCCUUAUUUGAUCAACGUAUCUUUACUAGUCGGAUCAAUCCUUUCAUGGGGUAUAAUGUGGCCACUCAUAAACGAAAAAAAAGGCGAUUGGUACCCUGCAGAUCUCAAGUCAAGCAGUCUACACGGCCUUCAAGGUUACCGGGUAAACUUCUCAACUCCAAGACUUUACACUGCAUUUGUACACUGUACAUGACAUGACAUGACACAACCAUUCCACAAUUUAUCAAAAAAAACUUUCUAACCCUAUUUUGUCUACCCCACCUUUUUUAGUAGGUCAAAAAAAGUACAAUUUUUUUCUAUUGUGUCAAUGUCAGUAUCAUGCACGUCAAACACAGUAUAACCUUUUUCUGUUAUGUAAUUAUGUAAUUGCAGGUAUUCAUCGGUAUAGCUAUGAUCCUUGGAGAUGGGCUCUACAACUUUGUAAAAGUCCUCGGCCACACAUUAUACGGAUUAUACCACCAAUUCAAAGACCAUAGAUUCAACCCCAACACCCCUAUAACCGGCAACUCUCCCCCGGACCUCCCCUCCCUAUCAUACGACGACCAAAAACGCGCUCGCUUAUUCCUCAAAGACCAAAUCCCAGUAUGGAUCGCCAUCACCGGCUACCUCACCAUCGCCAUCGUCUCCGCCGCCACUCUCCCCCACAUCUUCCACCAACUCAAAUGGUACUACAUCGCCACAAUUUACAUUUUCGCCCCCGCAUUAGCCUUCUGCAAUGCCUACGGAUGCGGCCUCACCGAUUGGUCGUUAGCUUCAACCUACGGAAAGCUCGCGAUUUUCGUAAUCGGUGCAUGGGUCGGCGGCGAGAACGGUGGGGUUCUAGCGGGGUUAGCCGCUUGCGGUGUCAUGAUGAAUAUUGUCGCCACCGCGUCGGAUUUAACGCAGGAUUUCAAGACCGGGUACAUGACACUGGCGUCGCCCCGGUCCAUGUUUGUGUCCCAAGUGGUUGGGACCGCGAUGGGGUGUGUCAUUUCCCCGUGUGUCUUUUGGCUUUUCUACAAAGCGUUUGACGACCUCGGAAUCCCCGGUUCCGAGUACCCUGCGCCGUACGCGUUGGUUUACCGAAACAUGGCGAUCCUCGGAGUCGAAGGGUUUUCGGCGUUGCCCUCUCGGUGCCUUACGCUUUGUUAUAUCUUCUUUGCGUUUGCGAUUUUCGUGAACGGAAUCCGUGAUUCCGUCGGGAAUAAUUGGGCGAGGUUUAUUCCGAUUCCGAUGGCGAUGGCGAUUCCGUUCUAUAUCGGAGGGUAUUUCGCGAUUGAUAUGUGUGUUGGGAGUUUGAUUUUGUAUAUUUGGUCGAGGGUUAAUAAGGCGAAGGCGGAUGCGUUCGGGCCCGCGGUGGCUUCGGGGUUGAUUUGUGGCGAUGGGAUUUGGACACUCCCGAGUUCGAUUCUUGCUUUGGCGGGUAUUAAUCCUCCGAUUUGCAUGAAGUUUCUUUCGAGAUCAAGUAAUAUUAAAGUUGAUAGUUUUUUAAAUCCGUAGAUUGUUUUUACGAAUAUUUUAGGUUAUACAAUUGUAAAAAUGUUGUUUGGAAAAUGAUCGUGUGUCUUUUUUUUUUUUUUUUUAGCUUUAUAUAUGUUUGAAUUUGGAUUCGUGAGCUCGAUGUUAUUGAAUAUUGAAAUGUGUUCAGUAAUAAAAGUUUCAUUUUUAGUCGUGAUUCGGAGUCGAGUGGUUGGGUUUUUGUUGUUUACAAUGGUAUUUCGGGACUGUACUUUCCGGAGCACUCAUUUUAGUACACGACGACUUACUAAAAUAAAUGUUUCUACAAAGAAUAUAAAUCUUAUAAAGUUGUAUACUUGUAUUCCAGUUAUGUUGUUUGUAUAUAGCCUAGUCCUACACUUGGCCCAUUGUAAUCUACACUAUGUUUUAUCCGAAAAGAAAAUGACAAAAAUAACCAUUUACACUAAUUACAUUACAAAAAUAGCCAAAAAAACCGAAGUUGGUAAAAUAACCAUGAAUUUCGCAGAUGGAAUAGUCCCAUCUGCGAAAUGGGCUUUCCAUCUGCAAAUGUACAAACAGCUAAAGCACAACUGUGUUUUAGCUGCUUGUAUAUUCGCAGGUGGUUUAUUUUUUUUCUCUAUAUAUAUUGAAAUUGUAGGGUAAAAUCGCAGAUGAAAUAGCCCCAUCUACGAUUUACUCUGAUUUCAUCUGCGAAAUUGCGGUUAUUUUUUAUUUUUUUAUUUUUUAUUUUUUAUAGUUUGACUAUGAAAUCAAUUGGUUUGUAGCUCGGUUAUAUCUAAACGUACAUCACCAACAUCAACAUAAUGCCCGUAAACAUGCUUUUUUUUCAUUUUUUUGACUUGAAUUUUUUUUCUUUUUAGUUUUAUCUACCACACGCCUAUUCAUAACUUUAACUUCUUGUUCAGCAACAUUAUUUCGUAGUCAAACCAAUUGAUUUCAUAGUCAAACUUUAAAAAAAAUUAAAAUUAAAAAAAAUAAAAUAAAAUAACCGCAAUUUCGCAGAUGGAAUAAGAGUAAAUCGCAGAUGGGGCUAUUCCAUCUGCGAUUUUACCCUACAAUUUCAAUAUAUAUAGAGAAAAAAAAUAAACCACCUGCGAAUGUACAAGCAACUAUAGCACAGUUGUGCUUUAGCUGUUUGUACAUUCACAGAUGGAAAGCCCAUUUCGCAGAUGAGAUUAUUCCAUCUGCGAAAUUCAUAGUUAUUUUUGCAACUUCGGUUUUUUUUUGGCUAUUUUUGUAAUGUAAUUAGUGUAAAUGGCUAUUUUUGUCAUUUUCUCUUUAUUCAAUCGUUAAUGCAAAGACUGGAAAAUAUUCUAAACCUAAUAUGAUAUCAAAGUUGCAAAGGACUCUUACUACCAAUCCACUCCUUCCUCGACCUACCAUCACCGACGGAUGAUGCCUCGCUAACCCCUACUAGAAAAUAAAAAAUAAGAAACACUAUAUAUAAUAAGGGUAUAACUAGUUAUGUGUGUCUUGAUUUGCUCAUCGUCACAUGUAUAUAUAGAUGGAGAUAUAUCUUAAUGUGAGAGAUGGAAGGGAUCUUGAAUUAAACUGGGAACUCAACUCAUAAGAUAAGUAAUAUUCUAUAAAUCGGUCUAUCAACAAUUUAUAUUCUUACCAUAAUAAUUGGAUUUAAUGAUAACAUUACAUAUAUAUGAAGUGGUCUCAUAAUUAUCUAGCAAUCUCCUACUGAACCACGAAUAUAUAAAUGUACGUAUAACUGUAUAAGCACUUUAAUGAAUGUUAUCAUAAUAUUGAUACCCUUAAACAAUCUCGUCCACUAAUCAUAAUAUAGGAUCAAAGUGAUAUUUGUUACAAUUUACGUAACUAAACCCAUUAAUGGACCAUUUUUUUGAAUCUUGAAGAACUAAACCGACUCUUCUAAAACUCCUUCUAGUUAAAAGAUUGUAGCGAUUUUUGUGAGUUACGCUUAUGGUUGGUGAAACUGUAUGGAUAUAUGUUUUUCUUUAUUUAUGUAUCAAAAACAACUUUGAUCUCCUUUCGGUUGUUGUCAAAAGUCUUGACAACAUCGACGUGUAGUCUUUUAUAUUUUCUUGAAAGACGACGCACAUCGAAAUCCUCUAGACAAGUAUUACACAAAGGAUCAAACUAUUAUUAUUUUAUUGUUUUUCUGACUUGUCUACAUCACUUGGUCUUGGUACCCUGUGCUCUUGUGUUUCCGGAUUUUUUACUACUCGUUUUAUUUUUUUUAAUAGAAUUUGGGAAUUUAAUUAAUAAGUAUAAAAGCAUGGUCCUAAUUCCUUUACGCCUAUCUAUUCUGUCUAUCCAUUUGGUUGUACGUUUUAAAGUCUAAAUAAUUAUAUGUGUGAGAAAUUCUUUAUGUAAUUUGCAAAUCUAUUAUUUGGAGCCAUAGAUUUUUUACGGCCUAAAGGAAAAAGGAAGGGCACAAAAGAAAAAACAAAACAAAACUUACAAAAUGUUAAAAGGGGAACAAACCCAACAUUCCCAUCUAUAAUUUCCAAAAUUAUCCAUAUAUUUCAACGAACUAAAAACCAUAGAAAUCACAUUAUCCGCCAACUUUGAAGAGUUCACUUAGAUUCUGUUAAACCAAACGUCGUUCAUUGCUUUCCACGUACACCAUAGAAACUCAUAGCAGAUAGCAAGAAAUAUUUUUUUCUUUUUUGGACAGUUUCCCAUGAGGCAGCAAAAUUAACAAAAUCUGAAAUCGAAAGGAAUCUUUGAAUAGAAAUGCCACAACAAUUGGAAAUCCAGCGUAGGGAAUCAAAAGCAAUCGGACAGUCCAAGAGAAUAUGAUUCGCAAUGUCCACACCACUAAAGCACAUUUGACAGGAAAUAUAAGACAUGUUGAUACCUCUCUUGGAACGAACCACUGCAGUAGGAAUACACCCCAUACAAGCCCUCCAAACAAAACUAAUGCACUUGACAGGAACUAAGUGAAGCCAAACCGUGGGGUUAUUUAUCGGGAUAGUCAAUUUACUGUCAAUGAGGUCCCUAAGAUCGCAUACACGGAAAAAAACCAUCGACAGUUAACCUUGAUCUCCAAGUGUUAGGCCCAUUGGAUCUCACAACCAUCCUUGUAACAUCCAAAAUAGAUUUCAAUUCCAACAACUCCUGAGAAUUGUUGGGUUUCCGCUUCCAAGUCCACGAGAAAGCACUAUUCACCCAUCUAUCAGCUAAAAGGCAAGUUUUCCUCUUGUCUAACGCAUAUAAAGAAGGGAAUUUCACUACCAAAGUCCCGUUCUUUAGCCAAUCAUCUAUUGGGUGAUUGUCACACCCCCAAUCCAGGGGUGGAGGACUUCAUGUAUAGUAUCAUAACCACAAUGACAAUAGUAAUUCAAGCAAANCAAACCAACCUAUAUAUAUAUAUAUAUAUAUAUAAUUGAAAGAGUUACAUCAUUGUAUGAAUUACAUGUUUCCAAAUCAAUUACAAUAUGUUGACAAAAUAUGAAAAGUUGACACCUUAACGUCUCAUCCUCAAAAUGCACUUGGUCACCUGUUUAGUGAUUUCCUGAGAAUACAAGUUGUUUGAAAAAGUGUCAACACAAAGGUUGGUGAGUUCAUAAGCUUUUGUUUUAAACUUGAUAAAAAGCCUUUCUCUUGUAAAUGUCAUAUUUGUUCCAGAAAAAUCCGAUAUUUUCCUUAAAAUGUGUAAUGUAGUCUUAUAUCCAAAGACUGAAAUGUACAAGUAACCUUUCUUACUUAUAGAAAAUAAUGUAAGUUUAAAUUGACAUAAAUGCGUUUGAAUUCAAUGAAAUUCCCGUAAAUUCUUAUGUUUGUUGAUACUUUCUAUGAGUUAUUAUAACUAUGCUAUGACCUAGUUGGCCUGAAAUGACGUUCUUCAGCCGUCGGAAAUGUUAUGACAUUUGUCACCCCAAACCUGCCGGUCUAACUGUUGCAUGCAGUUAAGGUGUGAGUUUUUCAAUCCCAAUAUAGAUCUAUAUACAACUAUCACGCUCUCCCUCCAGGAGACUCUGGUUACAAUACAGGACUUAUUGGUAAAUGUGAAGUGAAUGUCUCACAAAGUCAUUAACGAAUUUACGUGUAAUGUGAUGAAAAUCCCUUUUUGUAUAAAUGUACCCUUUUUGUAUGAGUGUGUUGUGUAAUGUAUCAUAAACUAUACAUAUUAUAGUUUAUCAAAACAAGGGUAGUAGUGGUAAUGUACGCAAACUAUAUUUAACAUAGUUUAUUCGAGUGUUUGUGUGAAAUGGGUGUACUUUGAUUAUAACAAUUUGUUAUCUUUUAUAUAUGUAUCAAAAUCCAUUUAUUAACUGAUGCAUGUCUAUAUAACCAGACAAAUUGUUAUUUAUUUGCAAUAACAUAUAUUCACAUAAAGAUGUACACCUUGCUCGACAUGUUACAAGGUGAAAUGAAAUUGUAAGUAUUUUUCUGUUAUUAACAGAUUCCAUUACUGUUCUUAGAAAAUUUAUAGAAAAUUCAUAACAGAUCCAAAUCAGAAUCCGUAAAUUCUGGGAGUUUGGAGAAUGAGUCUAGUUUGUUCAUAAAUUUUCCCAUGAUUUUUAGUGACCUACAACUUAGGUGAAAACAUCCAUAAACACAGACUGGUCCAGAUUGGUUCUUGAAAUGAUAGGCCAUUUUGUAAAAAUCACCAUAAAUUGUAGAAAAAUCGUAUGGAAAUAUACAAGUAUCCAUUUUAACGCUAAUAACUUGAACUACUUGCACUUUGUACAGUUUUGAAAACUAAAAUGUUUUAAUUGACCAAAACAGUCCGUGAAUUGAGUCCAACUUUUCUGAUGAAAGCUGUUAGAAGCAUUUAGUUGUGUUCUUGGUGAUUUAACUUGUAUUCCCCCCUUAAAACUUAAGAAAAUAUGAAAAUGUAGGGGUAUGAACUCACAUUGAGUGAUUUUGGUGGAUGGAUGUUGGAGAAGGGAAGUGUUCAACUCAAGAACACUUAGAAUAUUUCUUGAAGAUUCGAGAAUCUAACACAAAUAUGAUGAAGUUUGUGUAAGUAACCCAUGAUUUGAGUAAAAUGGAGUGUAAUAAUCACAAGGAGGAUGAAUUAUAUUUACCAAGAGUGUAAGAAAGCUUGAUGAUCAACCUUGGGAUCUCGAAUUUUUAGAGAGAGAAAGUGAGAGGAAAGUUGUGUUUGAUCUUUGGUAAAAUGAGAGAAAUGAGUGAAGUGAGGGGUGUGGAGUGAUGUUCCAGCUCUAAUACUGUGGGAAAAGGUUGGAAAUGAUGAAAAAUACAUUGACAUGACCUAGGCAUGGUAGAAGGAGUGUAGUUGGUCAAGGAGUGGGUGUGAGUGGUUGCUUGUGCCAUAAGCUAAAGGAAAGUCAACACUCCACCUUUAUUACUCCAACCACUAAAUCUUGGAUUAGAUUUGCAUUAAAAACGUGAUUAAUUAAGACACAUGGGUCUUAAUAUGUUAAAAUAAAGUUUUUGGUGAAAAACCCGCUUUAAAAUGAUGAAAAACGGGCUUAAAAUGCUAAAAAUAUUGAAAAUCGGGCAAAAAUGGUAAAAAUCCAAAAUUAUGGCCGAAGAUGAGAAGGUUCGGCUCCUUAGGAGCUUAGAACCGAAGGGAGGCUCGGUUGCUCAUGGGGACCGAGAGUAGAAGAGGGACCGAGAAAAGGAAAGAGAGAACCGAAAGUAGGAGGAGGGAGCCGAAGGUGCGAGGUUCGGUCUCGGCUGGGCGGUUAGAACCGAGAGCGAGGUUCGGCUCUGGCAGGUUUCGCUUAUGACAAGUUCGGUUUGGCUGCUUUAGAGGUUUCGGUCCUAGGGUUUCAGCUGCUUCAGAGGUUUCGGUCCCAGGGGUUUCGGCUCCUAGAGGGUUCGGCCCUAUAAAGGGGUUUCGGGUCUUUUUAGGUAUUUUACUCGUUCUAACCCCGUUUUAAGCGGUUUUUGACUCGGUUAAGGGUCGGGAUGGCCCGAAGGACUACCAAAAGUUACGGGAACUUUUGAGAGAGAUUUGGGAGAGAUUUAAAAUAGAGAGAGAUAGAGUGAAUACGACUGAGAGAGGUUUCGUUUGUGACAUUUUUGAGUGUCCGGCUUCGCAAUGCAAAGUCCGUAAACCCCAUUAAUCCAUGUUUUAGUGUCCUACACACUCCCGAUGAGUGUGUAGUAGUGUUUUAUCACUUCGGUUCAUUGUUUAGCACUAUCACGACUAAGGAAAAUUAAACACGCGAAUUUUCCAAUUGAUGUUUUCUCAUCAAAAUAGCGAGUUGUUUAGUACUUACAUAAUGAAAACCCUAAUAUAUAAUAGCUAAUUGAGUCGUCCGGUUUGACUUGUUGACUUUGUUUGACUUUGAUGGCAGAAAGCAAAUUUUCUCAUGAAUGUGAUGUCUUUAAACAUUAAGGGGAUGAGGGAAUCUCAUAAAUUUGAUUGGAGCCAUAGAUUAAUCGAAUAUUUUACACAAUGAUUUAUGCAACAACUUAAGUUAAUUUUUCUGAAAGUUGUGUGAAAUACCUAUUCGGGUGUAAGGUAUUAAAUUAAUAUGACAAUGUCAGUUUUGAAUUUUGUGUAAAAUACUUUUGGCUUUUCACUAUAUUGUCAAUGUUACUGUUUUUUAAAUUUGCAAAUUUCAGUUCUCAUAGCUCCAUUUUUUGCGCACUCGAUUAUAUGGCAAAUUAUGAUAGAUUUUGAUUUGAUUUUAUUAUUGUUUUGUUUUCCGAAUACAACUAUGUUCACAUCAUUAUCUCGAUAAUUUAAUUGGCCUAAAGUGUUGUGAGGGCAUUUAAGGAAAUUAUGUGAUAACUACUUUGACAACUUACUAUUAUGACAUGUAAUUUAUUAUCUUGGUAAAUUAAUUGAUACAAUAUAUCAUCAAAUGAUUUUUUUUUUGUGAAAAUUAAUUUACAAAGAACUUAAUAUUUUGGUUAACUUGUUUAUUAAUACUGAUAUUAGCCCACCCAAAGGUAGGUUGAUAUUUGGUAAGAUAAACACAUAUGAUAGUAAACAUGCAAUACUUUUUUUAGGUUAUAUGUCAUUAAUAAGUCAAUCCAAAGAGGGCUUUUUAAUUGACAUGAUUUAUUAUCAAUGUUUAUUAUUAUUCAAUUUUAUGGUUUAUGUGUUUAUUAAUGUGGGUAUUAGUCGACCCAAAGGUUGGUUGAUAUUUGGUCAGACAAACAUAUAUGUGGUGGUAAACAUGUGACAAUUAUUUGGUUCUACGUGAUUAAUAAGUCAAUCCAAAGAGGGGCUUAGUAAGUGACAUAUUUUAUUACUAAUGUUUUAUCACCAAGACAAGGAUAUCUCUUGCAAGUUAGUAUUACUGUCCAAAGACUUGAUAUUAAUGUUGUGUUGAUACCUUGUAAAGAUGUCAUAAAUGAACUUAUUGAUUAUGGUUACUGGAUUAAUGAGUAUUAAAAAAAUAGAUUUGCUUAUAUUCUCAAAACAACAGAUUUAAAUUAUGGUAUUAUAUUUGCUAACAUUGAUCACAUUUAUGAUUCAUGUACUGUACUCAAUGAGAUUAACUUUAGGGAAUGGAAUGAGGGCAUUAUGUUAGUUAUCAAUUACAUGGAUAUUAACCUUGCAUUAUGGACAGAGCAACAUUCUUUGAGGAUUUUGAGUUUGGGGGAGAAGCAAUGUCAAAACAUUAUCCUUAAAGAGGAAUCAAUCUUGAUUCCUAUUAUUGCUUUUGAUAGUAUGCAGAUUAUGAAUCAGUGAUCGACAAUGUUAUUCAAUCUCCUAUUCUGAAUACACAAACUCAACAACCUCAACUUUGGAUAUCCUAUGCACGGUACCAUAUUUUUCAUCAAUUUGUUAUCUCUUUUAGUUUUGAGGUAAAUACAGUAAAUGAUUUUGUGUAUCACAGAUUAAGUGGGAGUAAAUUUAUCUUUCUGGUUUUGGGCAGAUAUCUACGUAACUCAAGUUUGGAUCAUAAGAAAGCAAUCAAAUGGAUUUUGAGAUAUUUAUAUAUACCAAAAGGCUAUAUGCUCAACUAUAGGAAAUUAGCUGUUUUGGAUAUCAUUUUUAUUAAGAAUCUGAUUUUAUUAGAUGCCAAAAUGGUUACUAAUCCAUAUCGAGAUAUUUUUACAUUUUAGCAUGAUGUGCCAUUUCAUGGAAUAGACAUUGAUAACUUCUUCCAUUAUGGCAGAAUAAUUUUUAGCAUGGAAUAUGGUUGCGGAAAUUUAUCACGAGGCUACACAAUAUUGGUAUUGAAAGACCACUAAAGUUGUGAUAAUAAGUCAACAAUGUUAUAUUCCAACAACAGAAGAUCUAUUAAGUCAAAGUAUAUUGACAUCAAGUUUCUUUCUGUUAACAAAAAAGUGUGAAAUGGAAAUAUAUAGCACAUAUGAACAAGCUCUAUGAAAGCGGAUCCGCUCAUGAAGGGAUUACCUCCGUAGGUCUUUCAUGACCAUACUACACAUGUUGGUGUGAUAUUGGGGUUUAGUGGAAGUUUUAUGGUGUUUUAUGUUUUGAUUUAGAACAAUUAUGUUUUUUGUAUAGAAUUAAGAAUGCAGUUAACUCCAAUAUUAGUUGAACUUAUUUGAAGUUUGAUUUCACUUCAAUCUAAAGAGGAACUCGUUUGAAAUAUAUUUAGAUUUUAAAACCACACAUCAUGUUUAAUCCACGUCGUUAGUUAUAUAUGUAUAUGUGACCAGUGAUAGGGUUAGUUACAUAAAUUCUAACGAAGUCGAUAGAAUGCAUAUUAUGAAUCCGUUAAGGACAUGUAACCUAAACAUUCGAUCUACCUUUGGAUCGAUUAAUAUCCGCAUUAAUUAACACAUAAACCAUAAAAUCUAAUAAUAAACAUCGACAAUAAAUCAUGUCAAUUAAAAAGCCCCAUUUUUGAUUGACUUAUUAAUAACAUAUAACCUAAAAAAUUUGUCGGAUGUUUACUAUCAUAUAUAUGUUUAUCCGGCUAAAUAUCCACCUACCUUUUAGUCGAUUAAUAUCCGCAUUAAUAAACACACAAAUCAUUACAUUUAAAUUUUCUUAUAAAUUAAUUUUCACAAAAAACACCGCUUUGACAAUAUAUUGUGUUAAUUAAUUUACUCUUGAAAAAAAAUAACAUGUCAUAACCGAAAAUUAUUGACAACCAAAAAUCAUAAAAGCUUUCAUUGAUAAUAUUUUAACAAAAUAAUAUAUACUUGUUUUAUUUUAACAAAAUAAUAUAUACUUGUCUUUAUUGGACGAUAUCUUUGCUCAAUGAAGAAGAAUUAUAAUAACAAUGAUUAAAUACAAGAUUACAUGGGCCCCAUAGGCUAGGUAACUGCUAGGCUAAAUACAAAUACACACUAUCUAAAUGUACAAUACAAUAAUACAUUAAUACGCCCCCGCAGUUUGAGCGGGAGAUCUAGAGCAAACACUCAAACUGGUCCGAAAAUCUGUAAACAAAGAAGAUGGAAGUCCUUUGGUGAAGAUAGCUACAUACUGAAUGCUGGAAGGAACAUGUAGAACUCUGACUUGACCAGUUGAAACCUUGUCAUACACAAAAUGAAUAUCCAUCUCUAUGUGUUUAGUGUGUUGAUGUUGAACAAGAUUUGUAGACAAAUAAACAGCACUGACAUUAUCAUAGUAAACAACGGUUGCCUUAGAAAGAGGAGUGUGUAGCUCACGAAGAAGAUUUCGUAACCAGCAGGUUCCGACUACUUCAUUGGCCACGCCACGGUAUUCGGCUUCUGCACUUGAACAUGAAACGGUCUGUUGGCAUUUAGAGGACCAAGAUAAAAGAUUAUNAAAUGGUCUGUUGGUGUUUAGAGGACCAAGAUAAAAGAUUAUCACCCAAAAAUACAUAGUAGCCGCUGGUGGAUCGACGUGUGUUAGGGCAACCCCCCCAAUCAUCAUCAAAAUAGGCUAUGAGAUUUGUGGUGGGAGAGUGAUGAAGUUGAAUCCCAUAGUCUAACGUCCCAUGAGCAUAUCAGAAGAUACGUUUAAGAGCAUGAAAGUGAGGUUCGUGGGGAUCGUGCAUGAAUAGAUAAAUCUGUUGCACGGUAUAUGAUAAGUCUGGGUGAGUAAAGGUGAGAUACUAGAGACCACCUGUGAGGCUUCGGUAUAGGGUCGGAUCAGUGAUAGGAUCGCCUAAAGAAUCUAGUUUGGACUGAGUAUCAGCAGGGGUUUGACACGGGUUACAGGUUAACAUGUUGGCGCACUCCAAGAUUUCCAACGCAUAGUAGCGUUGGGAAAGGAAUAUACCAUUAGAAUCCCGUGUAACAACAAUGCCUAGGAAGUAAGAUAGAUCACCAAGAUCCUUCAUAGCAAAUUCUGAUGCUAGAAGUGAGAUGAUACACUGUAGGAGAUCCAUAGAGGAGGCUGUCAAAAUGAUGUCAUCAACAUAUAACAAUAAAUAAGCCAUCUCCGUAUCCCUGCAAAAUAUAAACAUUGAAGAAUCACAACGACUAUGUGUAAAAUCGAUCCUGGUGAUAUAUGAUGCAAAUCGCUAAAACCAAGCGUGUGGAGCUUGUUUCAGCCCAUAUAGAGAUUUCUGCAAUAGGCAGACAUGGUCAGGAUGUGUGAUGUCUCUAAACCCAGGUGGUUGGUGCAUGUAAACCGUUUCAUUCAGUUGACCAUGUAAUAAUGCAUUUUUUACAUCUAACUGAUGAAUCAGCCAUUUUCGAGAGGUGACAAGACUGAGAACCGUACGAAUCGUAGUCUGUUUGACAACCGGACUAAAUGUCUCAUCACAGUCAAUGCCGAGGCGUUGGCUUUUGCCAUUCGCUACCAAGCGAGCUUUUGUAUCGCUCAAGUGUACUAUCUGCAUUAUUUUUCUUUCUAAAUAACCACAUAGAGCGCACAAUGUUAGCAUAUGUAGGUCUCAGAACAAGGACCCACAUAUUGUUAGAUAUAAGAGCACGAUAUUCGUCCUUCAUGGCAAUGGUCCAAUUGGGGUCCCGAAGUGCUUGAAGGUGAGACUCAGCAAGAGGAGACUCAGUGUUUGUGUGUAGGUUGAGACGAGAGAUAGGUUUGAAUAUACCUGCAUGACCAUGGGUGACCAUAGGGUGAGUUGGUUGAGGAGAUGGUGGAGAUUUAGUGGGUGGUGUUAAAUGGUUGUGAGAAAAAGAAGAGGGUGGUGUGAGAGGGCUAUUGACAGCCGAGUCAGCCUAGUGGUUGUUGUUGGCAAAAAUUGUUGGAUAUAGUGUCUAAGUCCAUAACUUUAUUUGGUAUGUACUUGACCCGACCCGGCAUCGUCCAUUUGGGUUGCAUGGCAUUGAAAUACUUGGAUAGACAAAAUGAGAGAAAGUACACUUGUGAUUAUUAAUAUAUUAUAAUUUCUAAUAUAUUAAUAAUAGUAUUAUUUAAUUAGUGUUGAUCAAGUAUUAAUCUAGUAUUAAUUUGGUGAUCAAAGUGAGACUAAUUAAAUAUAUAGGGUUGAUUAUGACAAUCAUCAAUUCCUUUAUGGUGGAUUAAUGAUCCAUGGUUUAUGGGUUUGGUUAUAACCAUUUGGAGCUCCAUGGAUAGUCCAUGGGAGUUACAAACCCAUGGGUCAUGAGAAUGAAGAGUCAUGACAAUUAUGGGUCUUCUUAAUGAAACCCUAAUUGUGACACCACUAUAAAAGGAACCCUAUAGCAUGCAAAAUCGGCACUAAGAGUAUUCUUGUGAGGGCAUAGCUGAUUUUGAAGUGUAGAAGUAUUCUCUCUAGUUAUUCCAAGGUUGUAGUGUUGUGUGAAGCAUUUGAGGCACAACAUUUGGGGUGCUAGGCUCACAAAGUCUUGAAGGAAUCCAAGCAACAACAAGGUAUGUAUUUCUACUAGUUUUUAUGUUUUAUGUAAUCCCCAUGCCAUGCUAGUUAGGAAAUAACCUUGAAAAAGAAACUUGCAUGUAUAUAGAGAAAACAUAGAUUCAAGGUUAUUAGGGUUGCAUGUACACUUAGGAAGUGUUAGAAUGCUCAAAUCCCAUCAAAAAUAUGGCUGCCAGACUCAUUCCCAGUUUCGGUGGUGGUUGUAGUGGGAAAUUCAGACAAUCGAAAAGCCCUGGAUGUGGGAUUUAUGUCACAUUGUUCGUCAAGAAAAGAAUAAGAAGGUGCUUUGUUGGGUGUCAUGGCUUUAUAUGGAAAGACGUUUUCUUGAAAAACAACGUGACGUGAGAUGAUUAUUUUUCCGGUUUCAAGGUCAAAACAACGAAAGCCUCGAUGUUGGUUAGGAUAACCAAGAAAGAUACAUGGUCUAGAUCUUGGGGCAAGUUUGUGAGGGGUGUGAAGGUGAGGAUAACAUAGGCAUCCAAAGACACGAAGAUGGAGGAAGGAUGGUGGUUUGUUAUAUAGUUUGGAGAAAGGUAUGUCGUUGUUUAUUGAUGAUGAGGGUGUGAUGUUAAUGAGAUGGGCUGCCAUAUGAAGAGCUUCAACCCAAAAGGUGGGCGGAAGAUGGGAUUGAAAAAGAAGAGUGUGAAUAACUUUAUUUAUAGAGCGGAUCAUACGUUCAGACUUUCCAUUUUGUUGGGAAGUGCGGGGACACGAGAAACAGUAUUGGAUACCGUGUUGGUCAAAAAGAGUGUGAAACUUUUUGUUGUCAAAUUCGCCACCAUGAUCACACUGGAAUUGUUUAAUUUCGGUUUGAAAUUGAUUAUUGACAAAAGCACAAAAGUGAAGAAACUUGGAAAAAAAAACAUCAGACUUUUUUCGUAACGGGUAGACCCAAAGAAAGUGAGAGAAAUGGUUAAGGAAAAUAAUUUAGUAUUUAAUACCACUAUAGAUAGUAAUAGGGGAUUCCUACAAAUCCGAAUGAACGAUAUCAAAGCAACUAGAAACAAUGGAAUUAGAACUAUAAAAAGGAAGUUUCACAUGUUUUACAAGUUGACAUGCUUGGCAAUUAUCCGGACUAGAAGUUUUAUUAAAAGAAAUAAAUCGACGAGAAAUUAAAUGAUUAAAAACACGAGCGUCGGGAUGUCCGAGGCGUUGAUGCCACAAGCUAGAGCUACCGGAAACAAGAGCAACAAAUGAGUGGAAUGAGGAUGGUGCGGGAUAGAGAUCACCCGAGCUGUCACACCUAAGCAGGACCUGAGGAGUUUCCAAAUCCUUCACAGUAAAACCAAAGGGGUCAAAUUCAAUAGACACUUGAUUGUCAGUUGUAAAACGAUGCACACAUAUAAUAUUUUUGAUAGUAUUAGGGGUGACAAGAAUGUUAUGAAGAUGUAAAGGACGAUUAACAGAAAAAAGUUUAGAGUGACCGGUAUGAGUAACAGGAAUAGAUAAACCAUUGCCAACAAGAAUAGAUUUAAUGUAUCUCUUAUUGCUAAAAUAUGUGAGUAUACCUGUAUCGGAGGCAAGGUGUGAUGUGGCUUCGAUGUCCAUAUACCAAUUAGCAUCCGCACCGUCAGUAACAUUCAAGGAGUUGAAGGCUUAAGCGAGGUCGGUAGGCUGAUCUUGAGAUAUUGAAGGGAACCACUGCCAUGGAGGCCGAAGAGUCGGAGUGGUAGUGGUGUGAUACGCAGCUACAGUAGCGGAAGAAGGGGAACCAAGAAUGCCCUGUUGAAUUGAAUUGACUGGGCUGGUGAGUUGGGCCUGCGUUGUUGGGUUGCUGAAUUGGUUCUGUAGCCGGGCCAAGAAGGUGGAUACCCCUAAGGAAAAGUCUGUCAAGGUAAGGUGAAUGGAUUCCAAGGAACUGGUUGGGGAUGUUGCAUAUGACUAGACCCAAAAUUAUUCGGGCGACGCGAGUCAGAGUUGCCGCCUCCACGGCGGUUCUGAUUAGGACGAUGAUGCGUGUGUAAACUUAACUAGUUUUAAACCUACUUUAAAUUAUAAAAUAAACACACAAAGGCAGUGGACCUAUCAAUUGUGGUGUAGCUAAAGAAGUAGGGUAUCGAACACAGGGAGCGGUAAAUUAAAACUAAAAACUAAUUCUAUCUAAAUUAAUUAAUAAGUAGGGGUUUUCUCUAGUUUUACAAGACUAGAAAACUUAAUAACUAUCACUUAAACUAAAAGCUAGAAAAGCAAAUAAUUAACUAGAUUCAAUAAUGAGAAGGACUUCUAUUUAGUUCAACUCAAUUGGUCUUAUGGUUGAUAUUAUGAUAAUAGUGCAAUGGAUUAACUCUUUUGUUGGCUACCGAUUCAAGUGAUUAGAUACGCGUUCACUACACUAAUCCUUAGUGAAUAAAUUAACUCAAACAGUGAUCAGUUGUCUAAUUUAAUUAAAUUCCUUAGAUUAAUUAUUCGGGUUAAUUUAGUCUUGCAAUAGUUAACUAAUUUGGUCCUUUAGUUAACUUCUUGUUGAUAGUCAUCACACAAGCUCACACAUGAAUUUACUCAAUUUUCUUAUUAAUUCUAGUUUCAUGUUCAUUAAUCCUAGACAUAUGAUAAAGUGGUCACAUAUGCAUAUGAGGUUGAUAAUCAAAAGAUGUUCAUACUAUUUAAUUAUCUUCCUAUUAACAGAAAAUUAAUUAUCAUUCAUACACAAGGUUCUUUAGCAAGCUAAAACUAACAAAAAUCACCAACAUUGAAUUAAUCCUAUCAAUAAUCAAACCAUAGUCUCAAUUUUGUAUCCCCAAAUAGAAGUUUAAGAGUUUUAGCUCACGAUUAAAGUAAAUAUCAGCAAAUAAACGAAUUAUAAUUGUCUAGCCAUAGUGGAAAACAAAAGAUUAAGUAGAAUGAUGAAAUUUGCCUCAAAGCUCCUUCGGAAUUGGAUUCUAGCUUGUAUCUUCGUUCUCUAGGGUUCUUCAGUUAAUCUCUCCAGAAGGCUUCCAGAAUUCCCCCUUCUCGAUCAGAGAAGUUAUCUUUAUAUAUACGAAAUGACUCGUCGAGUCAGGUGCCGACUCGCUGAGUCCAUCUCUCAAUCCCCGUAUGCGAUAAGUCUUUGGGUCUUUGAGUCAUUAUCUUCUCGAAUAUUCGAUCAGAGUCGCCGAGUAGACGACCCUACUCGCCGAGUAGGUGUUGUUUUUGGUGGUUUUUCUUCUUUGUUCAAUUCUCGAGCUCCCAACCGCUUCUUCUGCUUCCUUUUGCUUCCGAGCUUCACUUUUGGACUGAAAACAUAAUUCAAACACUUUUAAGUACCUUUUGUCCACAUUAUAAACAUAAUUAGCUAAAAAUGAAUAAGAGUCGCCGAGUAGACGACCCUACUCGCCGAGUAGGUGUUGUUUUUGGUGGUUUUUCUUCUUUGUUCAAUUCUCGAGCUCCCAACCGCUUCUUCUGCUUCCUUUUGCUUCCGAGCUUCACUUUUGGACUGAAAACAUAAUUCAAACACUUUUAAGUACCUUUUGUCCACAUUAUAAACAUAAUUAGCUAAAAAUGAAUAAAAAAUAUAUGCUAAAUAUAUGACUAAUUAUGCAAAUAUCAAAAUACCCCACACUUGACUUUUGCUUGCCUCCAAGCAAAACUGAAUUUUAACACAUUAGAAUCACAUAUGACAACUCCAAUCUAACCCAGCCAUUACCCAUACUCCAAAUACUCACAAUCCUCAUAAACAUUCGCCCACUCACCCCGAACUAUGCUCAUUUUAUGCAUCCCUCCGAAUCCAUCCCCAGAAAACCUCUUAACCUCAAGGUAUUUUUGUUUGAGCAACCCAAGCAUACAUAAUCUAGAUAAUUACAAUUUAUGAUACCACAUUGGAGCUCUUUGGAAUUCUUCAUUUCUUUGGCAUUUGAUCUUUGAUCUCUUAGAAUUCACCACUUUGUUGUUUGAUUUUUGGUAUCUUCAACUUUUUGAAUUUCUUUGGAAUUUUUGAUCUUCUAAUUUCAUAUUUGACUUUAAUGCUCCAAAAAUUCUUCAAACUUUUCUUGUAAUUCUCUCUUUCUUUCUUUUAACAUGUAACUCACUUUUUUUUCACUCAAAUCCUACAUGCUUAAGCAGGGGCGCUCAACUUCAACCUUUAUUGGCUAAAGAUAAUAAUUUUCCUGGAUACAUUUCUGGUACACGAUGCUAAACAUAUUGCAUCCCUCAGGCUGAGCGAGGUCGUGGUUUUGUCCCAUGAUUUCACUGGAAUAUGGAAGCCAUAAAUGCACUAGAACGUAUAUAGGCUCAACUAAACAUUUGGGUCUUCAUGCAAUCAUCAACAUAAUUCUAAAAUGGAAUCAUAAUUACUUUUUACCAAAAUUUUCUAAAUUAGCCCCUAAGUCACAUUUUUGGUAUGCAAAAAUUUUCAAAUUAGUCCUAAAUUAAGAUUCUAAAUUUUCUAAUAUGUAACCAACCCCCUACCCCACACUUAUUUUAUGCAAUGCCCUCAUUGCAUAUUAUGCAAAAAAAACAAAAAAUGCAAACUAUAGAGAGAAUUGGAACAAACUCCCCUGGGGUAGCAGUUGAUAGGUUGAUACUCUUUUCUUUAGCUCCAUCUUCAAUUGACUUUAGACAUAGAAAUAGCUUAUCCACAUCUUGGGCAUCAAAUCACAUGUGGGCAGCUCCAAAUAGGCAAGAAAAACAAUGUAAGAUCUUCAAGAAUCGAUAUGGAAGAAUAAAUGGUCAAGUGGUACACUCAACAGUAUCGAAUCAGCAGUCUUGUUGGUAUAAGAUUGAGUGACUCGGCGAGUCAUAUAUUCGACUCGUCGAGUAUAGUCGUGGACAGCUUCGAAAUUGCAAAAAUACAAGGCGACUCGUCGAGUCAGUUAAGUGCACUCGACGAGUAGACCACUGGUUGGAAAAAUUCAGAUUCUGCAUUCGUCUUAGCUUUUGAUAAAUCUUCAAAACUCCUCAUACACUCAUUCACUCAUUCCUUUAGGACCGGACUCGACACCUUAACUCUAAACUCCGCCAUUUCUUGACUCUUUUCCACUCUUUAUAUUUUUCUUUCUCUCUCAAACUCUAGACCCUUUUAUGAAAGCAUUCUUAAUCCAAAAUCUGAAAGUCAUCAAGGCAAUUAAACAUCAAACAUAAAAUAAAAGUCUUAAAUUCAAACACACCAAACCAAAACAAAAACAAAAACAAAUAAAAAAUUGUUCAACUAAGCAUAUGGGAAGUUACCACCAUCGAUAUGCGGAAUAUGGAAGUAGUCAAAAAGUCGAAUGUUGGACUGGUUGCUAAAAUUGAGACUCCUUGCCAUUUGAUCUUGCAUUCUCCUCAUCUCAAUAUUAUACCAGUCCAUUGGCACUUCAUCAUUAUCCACCGAAAUUACCGGCGGUUCCUCCUCCACGUCUUGCUCUCGCCUCGGCCUAACCUUCCUUCCCGGCGCCUCGGGACCAACCACCGGAUCAUCAUGUGGGAUAGCAUAAUGACCACCACCAUAGUCCUCAAUAAUCCUAGCCCUCCAAAAAAGAAUGGGAUUAAAUGGAGGGGUAGGAAUCAACGUCAUCAAACGGGUCAUCAACCCAAACGAGUUGGCUAGCCGGGUGACAAACAUGCCACCAUUAAUUUUUGAGGUUUUGCGAUCCUUGACCGCACCCUCCGCCAAAUAGGAAGCCAAACACCAUGGAAUGUUGCAAAAGGUGUCUGGUGUGAUAAUGCUCCAUAGAUAAAAGACAUCAAGGUUAGAAACCUUGUCGUCAUCCUUCCGUUGAUUGAUGGUGUUGGAGAUAAGGCGAUGAAUGAGACGGUGUGUGGGUGACCUAAUACUUCCUUCCUGGGCCGACUUCGGGAUGUAUAACUUGUUGGCGAUCAUGUUCCACCAACUCGUACUCGUAACACCAUCGGGGAACACCUUGUGAGAGUGUUCCAAAAAGGCGCGAAAAAUACCAGUCGAGACCAACGGCCGGUCAUAAAUCCCUAAUCGACAAGCAAGAUCAAUAACUGAGCACUGAUGAAACUCGCCCCAAGGCAAAAACUGAAACUCAUCGGGUGGUAAAAAUCGUCUCCUCCACGGAAAGACACUGUGGAGCAAAAUUCCCAGCAAAGCUCCCGAUACACCGGUUCUUGAAUCCUAAAGACUCUGCUCCAUCCAUCACAAAUCAUCGUCUCCCCCUCGUAUGUAAAUUCCUUCAAAAGAUAAGGUGCUAACUCCUCCUCAUACCGAACAUUUUGCAACCAAUCCCAAUCAACCCUGUUGGGUACGUAAAUCUCCUUCUUUCUGACUUCAGCCAACUUCUUCUUCCAUCUCGUCAUGGUAGAGGCCGAUUCAAUCUGAGGAAAAUUUAACCAAGGAAAAUCUCCUUGGUGUCCACUCGAGCGUUGACCUCUGUGAAACAUUGUCCCUGCAAAAAAAACACACGACCCAGAAAACGUAGCAAAUCAUCAAAACAGAUUACAUCUGGGUCCCCGACUGGACUCGUCGAGUCCAUGAACGACUCAACGAGUCGUAUGAACAUCGCAAGUCAGUCGACGAGUCGAUCAAAAUUCGACCAUGAAAACUCAAAAUUUCUUCAAGGGUUUUGUCCGGGGAUGUUCCUAAGAUGUAUUAAAGGAGAAAUGACCAUCCAAAACAACAUAAUUGAUGUAAAAUCAAAACCCUAGAAAUUCACUAAACUUCAAAAUCGGGUAUUAUAUGAAAUUGGCACCCUAGAUCAUCUAAAAAUCAUUGCUUUAAUAGAAUAAAGGAAGAAAUCAAGUACCUUUGGUGAUGGAAAUCAAAAAUCUCUAAGAAAGGUUGAUGAAUGCUUGAGAGAGAACUCAAUGGGGGCGCACGGCGAGUGAUGGGGGAAAAACUGAUUUCAUUAGGGUUAAAACCCUAGUUACCGGUUGUAAAAAAUAAUUUUAAAUUAAUUUUUUUCUGUAAAUAAAACCGACUCGUCGAGUCAGGGUUAGACUCGGCGAGUCUGGUCGCGAUUUUUAAACCCAUCUGGAAUCUGAAUCGACUCAUCGAGUCAUGGUUAGACUCGGCAGUCUAUUGCAAACAAUUCAAAAAUUAUAUAAUUGUGCCAUUCAUUUAGAAAAAGAAAAUUCAUUCCACCCCACACUUAGUCCAUACGCAUUUUCAAGCAGUCAUGUCUGAUGAUUUGGAAGAUUAAAAUCCUAAAAACGAAAAUCAAACAAAACUAAAAAGAUGAAAGAAAGCAAACUAAAAAAAAUGGGUUGCCUCCCGCCAAGCGCUUCUUUUUAAGGAGUCGUUAGCUAGACUCCUUCCCAUCUACGUUUCUUCAUCUUCCUGCAUCAAGAACGCACGCCUAAUCUUUUGUGGUUUGUACUUCGUCUUGUAAUCGUGAAUCUUCUUUUUGUAUGCCCGUCUUAAUCCUUCUCUCUUCUUCCUUAUAGCAUCAUCCUCAGCUGGAUUAAAUUUUCUUUUCCUCGUCUUUUUCUUCUUCACCCCAUUCUUUUGCACCUUCUCUUGCACUCCCUUUUCCUUAAACUUAAUUACUUCAUAUUCGGUGAAAAUGCGUGCUCUAGGUUUGGUAAUGAAUGGUUAAUCUGCAUCAUCUCUUCUAUCCCUUGCUUUUUCUUCUUCUCUAAAUCUUGCAUCAUCUUCAAAUGGACUAUCUUCCUCUUCUUGCAUAAUCAUAUCAAGGCAUGCUACAUGAACGUGUUGACAUUUACUAUCCAUUUCCCCUUCUGCUGCUUGUUCUUCUAAAGGAUGAGGGGAAAUCUUCAUGUCCAGAACAUGCAGGGAGCUGGUAACAAACAGAUCAAAAAUCAUCCAAGUUGCUGGUAAUUUCGACUGGACUCGUCGAGUAUGGAAAAACGACUCGGCGAGUCGGGUCGUAUUCCAUACUUCCUUCUGUGUUUUCCGAGUCGGCUCCUCUCAGCAGCUUUUCUAUCUCCUCCAAGUCUUUGUCAAAAUCUUCAUUUCCUCCAGAGGAUAGCAACAACUUGCUUGGAUCUUCUUCUUGUAAAAAUGCAAGUUCUUUUUGAAGUAUCUCAUCAUCCAAAUCAAUGAAUGAGAUCUCUUCUUUUCUUUCUUCUUCUUGCUUGAUCUCUGGGCAAACUUUAAACACCACUGACUCGUCUCUUACCCUCAACGUUAAUGUGGAUUUACAUACAUCAAUUAAUGCACAUGCGAUGUUCAAAAAUGAUCUCCCCAGAAUAAUUGGAAUUUUGGGGUCUUCUUCCAUAUCAAUUACCACGAAGUCUAUGGGAAAAAUAAAAUUGUCGACCUUAAUGAGGAAAUCUUCACAAACGCCUCUUGGAUGAAUUGUCGUCUUGUCCGCCAAAUGGAUCUUCAUGUCAACUGGUCUUGGCUCUGGUAAAUUUAGUUUCUUGAAGAAAGAAAAGGGCAUUAAGUUGAUACUUGCACCCGAAUCGGUCAACGCUUGAGUGGCAAGUACAUUUCCAAAUUGGCAAGGAAUUAUGAUGCUUCCCGGAUCACCCUUCUUUUCUGGUAGCUCACUCAAUACUAUCUCCGUGAAUUCAGCUAAAUCUUUUCUAGCAGCAAAUAGACCCUUUAACAAGUUGAAGUACUUGGGUGUUUGAAGCAUUGUUUCUACAAAUGGAAUGUUGACUUGAAGGUCUCGAACAUGCUCCAUGAAAGCUUUAUACGCUCUAAUUUUUUCUCUAGGCAUGGAUUUGAUUGGGAAUGACAAAGGGGGAUUAUAAGUCCUCGAGGUAAUGAAAUUUUUGUCCCCAACGCAUGGACUCGUCGAGUCCAUUAGAGGGACUCGGCGAGUUUGGUCGGGUUUAGCUAGAACCGACUCUUCUGCCUUUUCUGUAUUCACCUUGGAGAUCUUCUGUGCAGGUGUGAAAAUUUCUUCAUAACUGAAAGUCACUGCGCUCACAUUCUCCAUUCUCAGAUUGUUUUCGGUGUUACUUGGAAGUUGACCCGGUCUUCUCUCGUUCACUUGAUAUGCAAGUUGUCAUAACUGUUUCUCAAUGUUGAGAAUAGAUGUCUGCUGAUUCCUUAACAUAUUUCUGGUCUCUUGUAUAGCAACAUCAUGAUCAUUGUGCCUUUUUUCGGACGCGGCUAUGAAUCUAGUGAACAUUUCUUCUAGAUCGGCUUUCUUUUCCAUAACCGGUUCUUCCUUUUGAUAGAAUCCCCUUUAUUUCUGCUUGUAUUUCUCCUCCUUAGCCUUCUUGUAUUCUUCAUACGGGAGCCAUUCCUUCUUCGGUUUCCGCCAAUUCUCGUCGUAUCGAUCGCCGCUUGAGUAGAACACUUGAGCUUUCUUGUUUCCAUUUUCAUCCAAGUCACAAUCCUUUGUGAGAUGAGGCCCUCUACAAUUCUCGUAUCCAACUCAAAUAGCAUGGAUUAUUUGAUCCAUCUUUGUCAUCCUUCUAUCUAGACUAUCGAGCUUCGCUAUCACCGCCGCCAUGCCAUCAUUUGCCGAGUUCACUACCCCCCUACUUACUUCAUUUCUUGGAUUGUGGUAUUCUCUAGAAUGCUUAGAGAAUUCUUCAAUUAACUCCUUGAUUACCGGGGGGUGCCUUCUUCGUGAGCGGGCCUUGUGAAUCGAGUAAUUGCCUUGUGGUGACAUUGACUCCAUCAUAGAAAAUGGAGACCUCUUGCUGGCUAUUAAGGUCAUGGUGUGGACAAUUUCUAAGAAUACCUUUGUACCUUUCCCAAGCUUCAUAAAGAGACUCCUCGGGUUGUUGCUCGAAGUUGGCAAUAGCUUUUUUCAACUUAGCUAUUUUGGAAGGUGGGAAAAAGUGGUCUAUGAACUCUUCUUUCAUCUUGGCCCAUGUGGUGACCGAUCCGGGAGGACGUGACUUGAGCCAAUCCUUUGCAACACCCUUGAAUGUGACUGGAAGCAUGCGAAGUAGCCGGGUCUCGCGUGGCACAUUUGGUACAUUGAAGUAGUCUGUCACAUCAUUUACUUCAUCCAAGUGCUUGUAGGCGUCCUCAUGGUCUUUUCCAUAAAAGGGAAUCUCCUUGAGUUGGGCAAGGAUAUGACCCUGUGGCUCGAAAGUAGCGGUAGCGGGAAUUGCGGGCUGCACAAGUCCCGGGCCAGUGUCAUCGCGCAUCCUUUUCUUCCAUUCCCCCAUGGGGGACUUCAUCAAUAUUAGCCAUAGUGACAGCUAAAUCGUCUUCAGAAUCAAAUUCGUGCUCGUAUGUGGGUUCGUCUUCUUCCUCGGUCUCGUACUCGGUGUCUUCUUUGAUUGGGUCUUCGAUUGCCAAGGAGGCACUAGAUGCUCCUGAUUUUCUGCUCCUCUUCUUGCUGAAAACGGACUUGAGGUUCUUUAGUGGCGAAUUUUUUUGAAGAAGCGGAUUCUCCAACGGCUUUUCCUUUGCUCCUUCUUAAUGCAGAUUUCGGGUCUUCAAGAGGAGGGACCAGAGGUGUAUCAGAUCCUCGGGUCAUGAAACAACUGUAAACAAAACCAAGAACGUGUAAAAAGAACAAAAAAUGAAUAAAAAUAAAAACUGUGAAUCAGCGAUGAACUCGCCGAGUCGGCACGAUUGCACUCGGCGAAUUGUAGGAAAAACAGAAAAAAAUUUCUACUUACUUCUAAUUACUAAAACUUAUACUAAUCACUAAAUUACCUAAGAAUUAACUCUGUGUAAGAUAAAUCUUGCACAACGGGAUCGAGUAAACUAGAAUUUAGUGCUAAUUUAGAACCGUUCCCCGACAACGGCGCCAAAAACUUGAUGCGCGUGUAAACUCAACUAGUUUUAAACCUACUUUAAAUUAUAAAAUAAACACACAAAGGCAGUGGACCUAUCAAUUGUGGUGUAGCUAAAGAAGUAGGGUAUCGAACACAGGGAACGGUAAAUUAAAACUAAAAACUAAUUCUAUCUAAAUUAAUUAAUAAGUAGGGGUUUUCUCUAGUUUUACAAGACUAGAAAACUUAAUAACUAUCACUUAAACUAAAAGCUAGAAAAGCAAAGAAUUAACUAGAUUCAAUAAUGAGAAGGACUUCUGUUUAGUUCAACUCAGUUGUUCUUAUGGUUGAUAUUAUGAUAAUAGUGCAAUGGAUUAACUCUUUUGUUGGCUACCGAUUCAAGUGAUUAGAUACGCGUUCACUACACUAAUCCUUAGUGAAUAAAUUAACUCAAACAGUGAUCAGUUGUCUAAUUUAAUUAAAUUCCCUAGAUUAAUUAUUCGGGUUAAUUUAGUCUUGCAAUAGUUAACUAAUUUGGUCCUUUAGUUAACUUCUUGUUGAUAGUCAUCACACAAGCUCACACAUGAAUUUACUCAAUUUUCUUAUUAAUUCUAGUUUCAUGUUCAUUAAUCCUAGACAUAUGAUAAAGUGGUCACAUAUGCAUAUGAGGUUGAUAAUCAAAAGAUGUUCAUACUAUUUAAUUAUCUUCCUAUUAACAGAAAAUUAAUUAUCAUUCAUACACAAGGUUCUUUAGCAAGCUAAAACUAACAAAAAUCACCAACAUUGAAUUAAUCCUAUCAAUAAUCAAACCAUAGUCUCAAUUUUGUAUCCCCAAAUAGAAGUUUAAGAGUUUUAGCUCACGAUUAAAGUAAAUAUCAGCAAAUAAACGAAUUAUAAUUGUCUAGCCAUAGUGGAAAACAAAAGAUUAAGUAGAAUGAUGAAAUUUGCCUCAAAGCUCCUUCGGAAUUGGAUUCUAGCUUGUAUCUUCGUUCUCUAGGGUUCUUCAGUUAAUCUCUCCAGAAGGCUUCCAGAAUUCCCCCUUCUCGAUCAGAGAAGUUAUCUUUAUAUAUACGAAAUGACUCGUCGAGUCAGGUGCCGACUCGCUGAGUCCAUCUCUCAAUCCCCGUAUGCGAGAAGUCUCUGGGUCUUUGAGUCAUUAUCUUCUUGAAUAUUCGAUCAGACUCGCCGAGUAGGUGUUGUUUUUGGUGGUUUUUCUUCUUUGUCCAAUUCUCGAGCUUUCAACCGCUUCUCCUGCUUCCUUUUGCUUUUGAGCUUCACUUUUGGACUGAAAACAUAAUUCAAACACUUUUAAGUACCUAUUGUCCACAUUAUACACAUAAUUAGCUAAAAAUGAAUAAAAAAUAUAUGCUAAAUGUAUGACUAAUUAUGCAAAUAUCAACGAUGACCACUGCGGUUAGAGGAAGACGGUGCGCGACUACUGUUGGCGGCAUACAAGACCGAAGGUGCAGAGGAGUGAUCCGAGUGUGAAGGUGGUGUUGGGCGGUUCGAUUUUAGUCUGCUUUCUUCAACCAGAAGCUUGGAGCGGACCAAAUUAUAGGUUGGAAAUGGGUCUCUGUGGCGAAGAAGCAUGAAUAUGUUUUCGAACUGUGGGGAUAAUCCAUUUAGCAGAUGUGCAAUAAACAACUUUUCAGGGAUAGGGUUCUCGAUAUUGGCCAAGAGAUCAUUGAUGGCCUUCAUUUUUUGACAAUACUAGGCAAUUGAAAGUUCACCUUGUGUCAUGAAUCGUAGUUCGUUUUCAAGUUCAAUGGCCCGGGUAUCUUUAUUUUCACGAAACAAGUCUUCAAGGCUCUGCCAUAUGGAAUGAGCGGUGGAGUUUUUCUUGACUAUGGAUGUGAGGAGAGGCUGAGUGAGAGUGACAUAGAUCCAUGACUUGACAAUGGAGUCAAGGGUAUACCAUUCUUCAUCCUUAUCAGACGUUGGACGUGAAGUCCUGUCGAGAAAUCCAAGCACCCGAUAUCCCCUGCAGUGAGUUUCAAACAAUUCGCGCCAGACAUCAUCGUUUAAUUCAUUGAAGUCGAGAAUAAUAGGAACAUGAGUUUUGUUUUUAACAACACCAUAUGGCUUCUGAUUGGUGGAGGUUUUGGAACCUGAGGAUUCAUCACCAUCGAUGGCUGAUUAUAGAGAGUGUAGAUGGAGAGAGAGGUGAAGAAGAAAGAAGAAAAGAAAACAGGGGAGAGCAGAAGGUUUAUCGACGAUAGAGUUGGUGCACGUCAACAGGAGGAUCGUGAAGAGGAAAUUAGGGUAGAUGGGUUUUUCUCUGAUACCAUAUUGGACGAUAUCUUUGCUCAAUGAAAAGGAAUUAUAAUAACAAUGAUUAAAUACAAGAUUACAUGGCCCCAUGUGCUAGGUAACUGCUGGGCUAAAUACAAAUACACGCUAUAAUGUACAAUACAAUAAUACAUUAAUAGUUUUAAAAAUAAACAAGUUAACAACAUUUUUAUGUCAUACCGGUGUAAAUAAAUUUAAGAACCAAAUUUGCUAAUACCAGCACACAAGCUCGAUUACUAUGAAAUUUUGGCAACUUUCUCAUAAUUAAUACUUGAUUUUUUAAUAUUAAAUAUUAAACAAAUUUCAAUCCAUUCAAUUUAGAGUUAUUUCGGAUUAGUAUUAAUCAAAACAGUUAUGUUGAAUAAAGAGCAUCAGCAUAUUUACACCAUAUAUAAUACAUAGGUAGUGCAUUAAUAAUGCGUUUCCCCAAAUAAUAAAAUUUACAAAACCUUGUAAAUUGUUUUUUUUUUUUAAUAGAAGGAGAUUACUUCCAAAAAAACAAAAAAUAUAACUUUAAUAAUCUUUAUAAUUACUCUAUGUGAGUCUAAUAAUAAAAUUAAACCACUUAAUCACAACCUUUUAUCAAAACUGAAAUUAUCAUGAAAAUUAAGUUGGAACUAUUUAAUGUGAAAGACCCUUACAAACUUUUACGUAAAAUCAACAACAUGACCAACGGUUAAAAAAAAAUUGCCACUUCAUAAGGUCAAUUUACACAUGUCAACUCAUGAUUAUCUGCUAGUUAACCAAAAUCUGCAACAAGAUAUGCUAGGCAUCCACAAUUGUGUUUACACAUCAAAAAUAGUUAAAAAUUAAAAGUAAAAAAACAAAGCCUACUUCAUAGCUCAUAGUCUCUAGUGUUAUCAAAAGUUGGAAAAGACAUUUGGAUAAUACCUGCUGGGUCAGCGAUUUGGGAAAAAAACUCUCCUGCCCUCUUCUUUGUUCUUCUCCAAAGCCACCGAGGUCGGCGCCGUUUUUCCUUCAUUCCGACCUCCGCCUUCUCCGGCCAGAGCUGCGUCAACAAAGGUAAGCAACCUCUUUUUUUUAACCAGUAGUUCGAAUGGCUAUUCUUACGUUUUUGUUUAUAAUGUAAGAAAUCAGAAUUUGUUGCUUUUAUGGGGUUAUGAAAAUCUGAAUCAGAAUUCUUGUUGGUAGUUUGGUAUGUAUGAAAUCAAAACGUAUUGUAUUUGUCAAGGUUUGAGGAAUUGGUUGAAAAGGUUAUUGUAAUACAUCAAUCUUAACUGUUUACAUUAUUUCAGUUUUAGUUCCAAUUUACCCUCUGUUUUGACUUUCCUAAACUCAGAACUGCAUUCCCACUUUCUUAUGAGAUGCAUAUAGCUGGUUUUCUUGUGCUUUGGGUAUAUUAUCUGGGAUUAAUUGUGAGUUCUAUUACUGAAGAUCCUUAUCAUGUUGAUGAUGAUUAUGCUUCUAACAAAAUAGAUGAAAUGGUGGCUGAUGAUGAAUGGAAUUCAUUUUGUAUAAUGAUAUUAUGUGGUUAUUUUUGGUAUAGCUUUAUUGUAAUUGCUUGAGUUUGUAUUUAUACAAUCUUAUUUCAUUCUAAUUUAUAAAUACUUUAUUAAAUCUAAAUUUUGAAUGUUGUAGUCAAGAAUCAAAUAUUUAUUGUUAUGAACUUAUGAUACUUGAAUUCAUGUGGGAUGUUGGUGAUCUUUGCUCAUACACACAUGCAUACAUAUCAGGUGUUAAAUGGAGAUGAAGGCUAUGAUUUUGGAGGCUGAUAUGGAGAUAAGGGUAAAAUUGUCAUUUUUCAUCAGUAGCACAUUAGUCGGAUGUACAAUCAAAUAACAUGAUUUCUUACUUGGUCAGGAUUUUUUACCUAGUUAGACCUUUCCCAGUCAUCACUCAACAAUCGUAGCCCUAAAACCAUUAAUUAACCCCGAAGACUUGGACGAAAUUCCUUGAUAAAUCUGGUUUGUUGAAGCAACCAUUCACGAGGCAAGAGAAUACUGUGAGUCACACAUUGCCUUCUCCGGUAAGUUGAAUUGAUUCGUCGCUAUUACUCCAUCACACACACACACAGUUGAAUUAGUUCUUAACACUUCCGUGUUAUUCUCGAAUUUGCAUUACAAAAAUCUCAAAUCUGCAAAAAGUCCGAACAACAUCGAUGACUAUAUCAUAAAAUACUUAAACAAAGAAUCAAUAUCUACUUUUGUUGGUUGAGAAUAUAUUAAAAGACAUUGUACUUUGUAGGUUGAAAUAUAGCUGUAUAAUUAGUGUCAUUUAUUUUACUUUGAUAAAAAUAUAUUAUUAUUUUACAAAUAAGUAUUCAAUUAAUCUCACUUCAAAAGUCAACAAACUCCAAUAAUAAUAUUAUUUUGAUCUUACCUCAC